This is a non-coding RNA of Nomia melanderi (Alkali bee), 705 nucleotides long. The record is from RefSeq and is a predicted model, not a curated record. Lineage: Eukaryota; Metazoa; Arthropoda; Insecta; Hymenoptera; Halictidae.
AAUUAGAUACAUCGAUAUCUAUCGAAUGUUCCGGUGUAACCGUUUCGGAUGGUGUACAAAGGGAAAACGAAAGUUCCUGGCUGCCGUGGUUCGAAACAAUUUCCUCCGUGUCGACGUACAGAAAUACUCGCGUUCGUAUGUAUAUACUUCAUUAUUUGUCGUAUGAAAUUACCACUGUCUCGGCAAUAAUCUACGAUACACCGCGAAUCACAAAAUCUUUCGUUACUUUACGUAUCGUUAUCGUAAUGGCUCUGAGGUAUUACGUACGUUCAUGGUUUAAGAAACUCGGCAAUUAUUCGAGCGUCAUUCGAAUCCAUCCCCCGGGUAAAUCUAUAUCAUAUAUAUCUCCGAAAAAACUUGUCCAACAGAUCUCGAACUGUGAUUGGCGCUUUUCUAAUUGGCCACCGAUGCUGUUUACAUGGAAGGUCGUCUCGCGUGCUGUUCACCUUUCAAACAUCAAAGUAACGACUUGGACACUGGGUGAACGGAUCGAUUCGAAAGAUUUCUCCAGGAAGCAUUCGUUUUAUGAUGAAGUUCGAUUUGAAUUGCAAAGCAAAGAAUCCGAAAUUGGAACAGUUUUGACUUGACUGCUGGUAAUUGCGUCGGUUCCCGACAAACUGGAAGCCGACAAACGCUCGGAAAGGAACGAGUCGAAUGCUGACGAACGCGCCGCGGGCUCCGGCGAUCAACGGAAGGAUACGAGGU